Molecule: ribosomal RNA, 253 nt
Filed under: uncultured bacterium
Lineage: Bacteria
Description: partial 16S ribosomal RNA
Rfam family: Bacterial small subunit ribosomal RNA
Source: RNAcentral
UACGUAGGUGGCAAGCGUUGUCCGGAAUUACUGGGCGUAAAGGGUUCGUAGGUGGCCAACUAAGUCAUACGUGAAAUCCCUCAGCUUAACUGGGGAACUGCGUCUGAUACUGGUUGGCUUGAGUGCAGGAGAGGAACGCGGAAUUCCAGGUGCAGCGGUGAAAUGCGUAGAUAUCUGGAGGAACACCGGUGGCGAAGGCGGCGUUCUGGACUGCAACUGACACUGAGGAACGAAAGCCAGGGGAGCAAACGGG